UAGCAAUCAAACUGGAGCCAUUAAAAUCCCGUGCCCCACAGCUGCAUUUAGAGUAUAGGUUUUAUAAACACAUUGGCUGUACAGUUGAAGGCUUCCCCCAAGUGUAUUGCUAUGGGCCAUGCGGAAAGUAUAAUGCCAUGGUACUUGAACUCCUUGGUCCAAGUUUGGAGGACUUGUUUGACCUCUGUGAUAGAACAUUCACUCUGAAGACUGUCUU
Elgaria multicarinata webbii is the source of this 217-nucleotide long non-coding RNA. RefSeq lists it as uncharacterized. Lineage: Eukaryota; Metazoa; Chordata; Lepidosauria; Squamata; Anguidae. The transcript has 3 exons. The record is from RefSeq and is a predicted model, not a curated record.